This 1293-nucleotide long non-coding RNA is filed under the name Anas platyrhynchos platyrhynchos (common mallard). Its description in RNAcentral is "lncRNA (ENSAPLG00000026099.1)". Lineage: Eukaryota; Metazoa; Chordata; Aves; Anseriformes; Anatidae. The record is from RNAcentral.
CUGGAAUGUGCUCUGUUUGAUUCAGGACUUGGAACUAGCUGUACCAUGAGCAAUUACAUGAUGCAUAACUAACAACUUCUACACCCUUCCCAAACUCAUUUGCUUUGAAUCAGUUUGGGCCAUUUAAAAAAUGCAGCAAGUUUCUGUGAGUCAUAAAACUGUGCUGCAGUGGAAGCAUGAAGAAUGCUGAUUAGAGCAGAAAAUGGCUCAGAACCAGCCUAGCUUUCUAACGAUCUCAUGUUCAGGACAAGCGGAGCAGAAUCAUGGCUGCCACAAACCAUUAGGAACAUUCCUAAAGACAGAUAGGCUGAGGUUUCUAUAGAUCAGUUGGAGCAGCUAACUCAUACUUCAGUUUCAACUCUAGUACAUGGGAAACAUCAGGAGUGCACAGCUGGAGACAGAAAAUAGAAGGAAACACCACCUCGGGGUACACUAACAACUCAUGUGAGUUUGAAGUGUUCAUCAAGUUACAGACCACAUGUCUCCUAUUUACAGUUUCCUCUCACAAGGACAUAAUAAGACAUUUUUUCCUUCUGUGUAAGAAGAUGGGCAAACACAACUCCAUAAUGACUAUGGACCACUAAUGAUCAGUGAAGAUAAAAGUGCAGGUAUCAGAUAAAUAGUUAUAGACAUAUUCUUCCUUAAGGACCUUUCAUUUUAACAGAGCUUUUGUUUGACUUUUUGACUCAUGUCUUGCCACAGACAAUUUAACAACUUUUUUUUUUUUUGUUUGUUUUGUUUUUUUUUUAGAGUGAAGCUUGGAAAAUAAGAUUUCUCAUCUGAGAGCGGUAUUGACUUUUAGGGAGAGAAAAUAAGAAAGAAAGCAAGGAAUCCUCCUGAAUCAAGAUUAAAACUGUAAGAAACAAAGCACAAGGUCUAAAAGAAACCUAGUAAGAGCACUUCGGAAUUACUGCAUCUCACCUGAACAAAGUGUUGACAAACUGAAUGUCUGUCAGCCAGCCACCCUGAACUCUCUUUGAUCACCAGAGAGAAAGAGGCUGUCUAGAGGUUGUGUCAAGGUCAGACUCUUAUCUUGAGAGGAAAAGCUCACUCACUCUUCCUUGCAUUGACUACUUCAAGAUUAAAAGUCUAAGUAUCCAAGUUUAAACACUCAAGUUCAAGCAUUUGUUUUUCUAAUCUGUAACAUAUCUAUAAGAAACUGGUUUAGCACAUUAAUAUCGAUGACUAGGUUUAAUAUUAAAGCUAGAAUGAAGUUAGAAUAUUUAAUAUAAAUAUGUUUAAUAUAAAAGCUAGAAAGGAUUGAGAAAAUAAAACAACUUUCUCCCACCUCCA